Molecule: transfer RNA, 70 nt
Filed under: Fukomys damarensis (Damara mole-rat)
Lineage: Eukaryota; Metazoa; Chordata; Mammalia; Rodentia; Bathyergidae
Rfam family: tRNA
About the family: Transfer RNA (tRNA) molecules are approximately 80 nucleotides in length.
Source: Rfam by way of RNAcentral
GGGUGUAGCUCAGUGGUAGAGCACAUGCAUAAAAUGUGUGAGAUCCUAGGUUCAAUCCCCAGCACUGCCA